This 83-nucleotide transfer RNA is filed under the name Candidatus Bathyarchaeota archaeon. RNAcentral describes it as "tRNA-Trp". It matches the Rfam family "tRNA". From Rfam's summary of the family: Transfer RNA (tRNA) molecules are approximately 80 nucleotides in length. The record is from RNAcentral. Lineage: Archaea; Thermoproteati; Candidatus Bathyarchaeota.
GGGGUCGUAGUCAAGCCAGGCAUGACGACGGGCUCCAGACUCUUGGGUAAAGGCCGAGGGUUCAAAUCCUUCCGACCCCACCA